GAUGAACGCUGGCGGCGUGCCUAAUACAUGCAAGUCGAGCGAACGGACGAGAAGCUUGCUUCUCUGAUGUUAGCGGCGGACGGGUGAGUAACACGUGGAUAACCUACCUAUAAGACUGGGAUAACUUCGGGAAACCGGAGCUAAUACCGGAUAAUAUUUUGAACCUCAUGGUUCAAAAGUGAAAGACGGUCUUGCUGUCACUUAUAGAUGGAUCCGCGCUGCAUUAGCUAGUUGGUAAGGUAACGGCUUACCAAGGCAACGAUGCAUAGCCGACCUGAGAGGGUGAUCGGCCACACUGGAACUGAGACCCGGUCCAGACUCCUACGGGAGGCAGCAGUAGGGAAUCUUCCGCAAUGGGCGAAAGCCUGACGGAGCAACGCCGCGUGAGUAAUGAAGGUCUUCGGAUCGUAAAACUCUGUUAUUAGGGAAGAACAUAUGUGUAAGUAACUGUGCACAUCUUGACGGUACCUAAUCAGAAAGCCACGGCUAACUACGUG
RNAcentral lists this ribosomal RNA (497 nucleotides) under uncultured bacterium. RNAcentral's name for it is "partial 16S ribosomal RNA". It matches the Rfam family "Bacterial small subunit ribosomal RNA", at positions 28 to 507 of the family's 1533-position model. The record is from RNAcentral.